GGUACUAAGCCAUGCUAGUCUUUGCAGUAAUGCGAGGCAUACGGCUCAGUAACACGUAGUCAACUUACCCUAUGGACGAGGAUAAUCUCGGGAAACUGAGCAUAAUACUCGAUAGAUCAUAAUGCCUGGAAUGGUUUAUGGUUGAAAUGAUUCGUCGCCAUAGGAUAGGACCGCGGCCUAUCAGCUUGUUGGUGAGGUAAUGGCCCACCAAGGCGAUUACAGGUACGGGCUCUGAGAGGAGAAGCCCGGAGAUGGGUACUGAGACAAGGACCCAGGCCCUAUGGGGCGCAGCAGGCGAGAAAACUUUGCAAUGUGCGAAAGCACGACAAGGUUAAUCCGAGUGAUUUCUGCUAAAGAAAUCUUUUGCAAGUCAUAAAACCACUAGUGAAUAAGGGGUGGGCAAGUUCUGGUGUCAGCCGCCGCGGUAAAACCAGCACCUCAAGUGGUCAGGAGGAUUAUUGGGCCUAAAGCAUCCGUAGCCGGCUCUGUAAGUUUUCGGUUAAAUCCAUGUGCUCAACGCAUGGGCUGUCGAAAAUACUGCAUAGCUAGGGAGUGGGAGAGGUAGACGGUACUCGGUAGGAAGGGGUAAAAUCCUUUGAUCUAUCGAUGACCACCUGUGGCGAAGGCGGUCUACCAGAACACGUUCGACGGUGAGGGAUGAAAGCUGGGGGAGCAAACCGGAUUAGAUACCCGGGUAGUCCCAGCUGUAAACGAUGCAGACUCGAUGAUGCAUUGGCAUAUAGCCAGUGCAGUGUC
RNAcentral lists this ribosomal RNA (756 nucleotides) under uncultured crenarchaeote AM-20A_101. RNAcentral describes it as "bacterial SSU rRNA". It matches the Rfam family "Archaeal small subunit ribosomal RNA", at positions 40 to 802 of the family's 1478-position model. Lineage: Archaea; Thermoproteati; Thermoproteota. The record is from RNAcentral.